This 463-nucleotide ribosomal RNA is filed under the name Vreelandella stevensii. Its description in RNAcentral is "partial 16S ribosomal RNA". It matches the Rfam family "Bacterial small subunit ribosomal RNA", at positions 338 to 795 of the family's 1533-position model. Lineage: Bacteria; Pseudomonadati; Pseudomonadota; Gammaproteobacteria; Oceanospirillales; Halomonadaceae. The record is from RNAcentral.
CCUACGGGUGGCAGCAGUGGGGAAUAUUGGACAAUGGGCGAAAGCCUGAUCCAGCCAUGCCGCGUGUGUGAAGAAGGCCUUCGGGUUGUAAAGCACUUUCAGUGGGGAAGAAAGCCUUGGGGCUAAUACCCUCGAGGAAGGACAUCACCCACAGAAGAAGCACCGGCUAACUCCGUGCCAGCAGCCGCGGUAAUACGGAGGGUGCGAGCGUUAAUCGGAAUUACUGGGCGUAAAGCGCGCGUAGGCGGUCUGAUAAGCCGGUUGUGAAAGCCCCGGGCUCAACCUGGGAACGGCAUCCGGAACUGUCAGGCUAGAGUGCAGGAGAGGAAGGUAGAAUUCCCGGUGUAGCGGUGAAAUGCGUAGAGAUCGGGAGGAAUACCAGUGGCGAAGGCGGCCUUCUGGACUGACACUGACGCUGAGGUGCGAAAGCGUGGGUAGCAAACAGGAUUAGAUACCCGUAGUC